UAACAGGAUUAGAUACCCUGGUAGUCCACGCCGUAAACGAUGAUAAAUAGCUGUCCGGUCACUUGGUGAUUGGGUGGCGCAGCUAACGCAUUAAGUUAUCCGCCUGGGGAGUACGGUCGCAAGAUUAAAACUCAAAGGAAUUGGCGGGGGCCUGCACAAGCGGUGGAGCAUGUGGUUUAAUUAGAAGCAACGCGCAGCACCUUCCCAGCGUUUGACAUCCUACGCUACCCAGAGAGAUUUGGGGUUCCCUUCGGGGACGUAGAGACAGGUGCUGCAUGGCUGUCGUCAGCUCGUGUCGUGAGAUGUUGGGUUAAGUCCCGCAACGAGCGCAACCCUCGUCCUUAGUUGCCAUCAUUAAGUUGGGCACUCUAAGGAAACCGCCGGUGAUAAGCCGGAGGAAGGUGGGGAUGACGUAA
This 416-nucleotide ribosomal RNA is filed under the name uncultured bacterium. RNAcentral describes it as "bacterial SSU rRNA". It matches the Rfam family "Bacterial small subunit ribosomal RNA", at positions 770 to 1187 of the family's 1533-position model. The record is from RNAcentral.